AAAACAAACCUGCUUCCUAAAAAUAGGUAGACUGCUACCUAUUUCGGAGAAUCAGAUGACAUAAAUUGUUUGGGGAAUCAGAUGGCAUAAAGAGAGUUCCCAGAAUGCCACAGUAUUUCCCAUAAUGCCACAGAAAGAGAACUUCCCUUCAAUAAACUGAUCAGAAUUAUAAACCAGGUUUUAAAAAACUCACUGUUCUAUGUGAACCCUAUGUGAACAUGGUAAUGGGCUCACCUGAAAGCUUCACUGAUAGCUUGGUGGGCACUUUGAAAGAUAAGAACCACUUCCCCACUUGCUGUUAUUCCUCCAGCAGCUAGUAUACUGCUGCUGAAUCGUAAGCUUCUUUUUAAGCAUUGUGGUAAAAAACAAUAAAGCCUGCCAUAAACCAAGUGAAAUAAUUAGUUCGCCCAGUUCAGUGCUCUGUAUGUGGGCAUUGCUGGGCAGUUUCUCUCCAGGGUUCCAGACAGGAGUCUCCCAGCCAAGCCUGGAGCUGACAGGGAUUGAAUCUGGAACCUUCCGCACACAAGCUAUAGUUCUUCCGGCUUGCCUUCCAUUAAUUUGUCUAGUAUUCUUUAAAAGCAAUCUAAGACUCGCCUGCCCUGCAGAAGUACAUGUGUGAAGACAUUCUUCUGUCCUUUCCGAGUUGUUUUGAACCCCAAGAUCUACCAAAUAAAGUCAGGUGCAAAAGACAUACAUACGGAUGAUACCCAGAAUAGGAUGAUACCCAGAAAAGGGACGCUGGUGGUGCUAGGAGCCUAGGACUUGCUGAUCAGAAGCACUGCAAGAGAAGGCCAUGGAGGUGCAUCAUGAGGGUGGAGACGAGUCCAGCUUUCAGAACUUCUGUUGGGAUUCCGUCCUGUUCCUGAACUUGAAGAGUGGAAAGAGAGUUGUUCAGACCUGCAUUCCAAGAGGUGUGAAGCUUAAUCAGAGAUCAAAUGCAAAACAUGCCACUGCGAUGAUACCUACUCAUCAGGCUUUUGACAAGACAGUUUCCUGUGACAGCUUAAUCUGCAACAUAAUCUAACAACAAAUUAAAUGUACCCUGCAGAACUAAUAUACUCCAACCUAU
This is a non-coding RNA of Podarcis muralis (Common wall lizard), 1069 nucleotides long. The record is from RefSeq and is a predicted model, not a curated record. Lineage: Eukaryota; Metazoa; Chordata; Lepidosauria; Squamata; Lacertidae.